Molecule: ribosomal RNA, 429 nt
Filed under: Gemmatimonadota bacterium
Lineage: Bacteria; Pseudomonadati; Gemmatimonadota
Description: Gemmatimonadetes bacterium partial 16S ribosomal RNA
Rfam family: Bacterial small subunit ribosomal RNA
Source: RNAcentral
UAGGGAAUCUUCGGCAAUGGACGAAAGUCUGACCGAGCAACGCCGCGUGAGUGAAGACGGUUUUCGGAUCGUAAAACUCUGUUGUUAGAGAAGAACAAGGACGUUAGUAACUGAACGUCCCCUGACGGUAUCUAACCAGAAAGCCACGGCUAACUACGUGCCAGCAGCCGCGGUAAUACGUAGGUGGCAAGCGUUGUCCGGAUUUAUUGGGCGUAAAGCGAGCGCAGGCGGUUUCUUAAGUCUGAUGUGAAAGCCCCCGGUUCAACCGGGGAGGGUCAUUGGAAACUGGGAUACUUGAGUGCAGAAGAGGAGAGUGGAAUUCCAUGUGUAGCGGUGAAAUGCGUAGAUAUAUGGAGGAACACCAUUGGCGAAGGCGGCUCUCUGGUCUGUAACUUACGCUGAGGCUCGAAAGCGUGGGGAGCAAACAGG